Prosopis cineraria is the source of this 433-nucleotide long non-coding RNA. RefSeq lists it as uncharacterized. The transcript is spliced from 3 exons. The record is from RefSeq and is a predicted model, not a curated record. Lineage: Eukaryota; Viridiplantae; Streptophyta; Magnoliopsida; Fabales; Fabaceae.
ACAAUCAGAUAUUUUUUAAAACUCUUCCUUCGUUCUUCGGUGAUCAUUAUGGAGCAGGGAGAGAGUUGAGAAACUUACACUGAACCUUUGCCCUAUCACCCAUCGAAUCUCUGCCUUCUUCGUUCUCAGCCAAGGGUUGUCAUCCUUCAUGCCAGUCACCACCACUAAAGCGCCGCCGCUGUGUCAUUUGCCACUGUUUCUGUCCAUGGGAAGAGAAGCACGCAAAAUUGGGGGUGCUGGUUGAGGGUCUGUCACUGAGCUUCACCUCCUCUGUUCGGCGUUCAAGUUCUUCUUUUCUUUCCUCAGUUCGUCCGCCACUACACAGCUUAACUGGGUUGAGAACAAGUGCUGCAAGAAAUAUACAAGCUAAGUCAAACAAAAACGAGGCUUCAUCCUCUGCACCGUUUUUCGGAUCCUUUUUCACUAUAAACAG